UGUGAAUUAGCUCAGUGGUAGAGUGCGUGCUUAGCAGGCACGCGGUCCUGGGCUCAAUCCUCAGUAUCACCA
Molecule: transfer RNA, 72 nt
Filed under: Camelus bactrianus (Bactrian camel)
Lineage: Eukaryota; Metazoa; Chordata; Mammalia; Artiodactyla; Camelidae
Also listed under: 1 other name
Rfam family: tRNA
About the family: Transfer RNA (tRNA) molecules are approximately 80 nucleotides in length.
Source: Rfam by way of RNAcentral